GAGGGAGGAGCAUGUCUCUCUCUCCUCUCAUGCUCCCUUGCGGUUCCCAUAAUUCCCAGCACAGGAUGUAGGAACCGCAAGGGAGCAUGAGAGAGAGAGAGACAUGCUCCUCUCUC
Molecule: microRNA precursor, 116 nt
Filed under: Pelobates cultripes (western spadefoot toad)
Lineage: Eukaryota; Metazoa; Chordata; Amphibia; Anura; Pelobatidae
Source: RNAcentral